Molecule: long non-coding RNA, 369 nt
Organism: Pseudophryne corroboree (corroboree frog)
Lineage: Eukaryota; Metazoa; Chordata; Amphibia; Anura; Myobatrachidae
Exons: 3
Source: RefSeq, a predicted model, not a curated record
UUUGCAGGGAGGCUUUCCUCUUCCGUCCUGUGUCUCCUCCUGACCUUCUGUCAGACUCACUCGUCGGUCAGUGAACGGGUCCGUUGCUGCUAGAACCAUGGUGGCGUACUGGAGACAAGCCGGGCUUAGUUAUAUCCGCUACUCUCAGAUCUGCGCGCAGGCAGUGAGAGCGGCGCUGAAACCACAAUUUAAAGCAGAGGCAGAGAAGGUGGCAGGUGCCAACGUGAAGGUCGUCAAACCGAAGAAAGAAGCCUGAUCACUUGAAAAUAAUAUUCAGGAAGUGACCGCACAUGAAUUCAGUGUCUGAGCAAUAUGUCUACAUUUGUCAUUGUCCCCUUUCUACAUUAAACUCUAUGACUGUGUAAAACA